GUCUGUACUAGCCAGUUUAAGACGAGAUGGCGUAUUGAGUGUUUGGCGUAAAUAAAAUUGUAAACAAAAACAAAUCGUUUCAUUUAAAACUCGUGUUGUCGAAUAAUUGUAUCUGUAAUUAAAGUUGUAUUUGUAUCAGUGAAGAAGAAGAACCUGGAAUAAAUGCUGUCUCUUCAGUUUAAGACAUGAAUUGGACACGCCGUAAAAGAAAAA
Molecule: long non-coding RNA, 213 nt
Organism: Agrilus planipennis (emerald ash borer)
Lineage: Eukaryota; Metazoa; Arthropoda; Insecta; Coleoptera; Buprestidae
Exons: 2
Source: RefSeq, a predicted model, not a curated record